CACGUAGGCACCAAGCGUUGUCCGGAUUUAUUGGGCGUAAAGAGCUCGUAGGCGGUUCGGUAAGUCGGGUGUGAAAACUCUGGGCUCAACCCAGAGCCGCCACCCGAUACUGCUGUGACUUGAGUUCGGUAGGGGAGCGGGGAAUUCCUGGUGUAGCGGUGAAAUGCGCAGAUAUCAGGAGGAACACCAAUUGCGAAGGCAGCUCGCUGGGACGUUACUGACGCUGAGACGCGAAAGCGUGGGGAGCAAACAGG
Molecule: ribosomal RNA, 254 nt
Filed under: uncultured bacterium
Lineage: Bacteria
Description: partial 16S ribosomal RNA
Rfam family: Bacterial small subunit ribosomal RNA
Source: RNAcentral